RNAcentral lists this unclassified non-coding RNA (337 nucleotides) under soil metagenome. RNAcentral describes it as "partial contains 5.8S ribosomal RNA, internal transcribed spacer 2, and large subunit ribosomal RNA". The stretch from base 1 to 120 matches the Rfam family "5.8S ribosomal RNA", at positions 35 to 154 of the family's 154-position model. The record is from RNAcentral.
GAUGAAGAACGCAGCGAAAUGCGAUAAGUAGUGUGAAUUGCAGAAUUCAGUGAAUCAUCGAAUCUUUGAACGCACAUUGCGCCCCUUGGUAUUCCAUGCGGCAUGCCUGUUCGAGCGUCAUUUGUACCUUCAAGCUCUGCUUGGUGUUGGGUGUUUGUCUCGCCUCUGCGUGUAGACUCGCCUUAAAACAAUUGGCAGCCGGCGUAUUGAUUUCGGAGCGCAGUACAUCUCGCGCUUUGCACUCAUAACGACGACGUCCAAAAGUACAUUUUUACACUCUUGACCUCGGAUCAGGUAGGGAUACCCGCUGAACUUAAGCAUAUCAAUAAGCGGAGGA